This 478-nucleotide ribosomal RNA is filed under the name uncultured bacterium. RNAcentral describes it as "partial 16S ribosomal RNA". It matches the Rfam family "Bacterial small subunit ribosomal RNA", at positions 28 to 523 of the family's 1533-position model. The record is from RNAcentral.
GACGAACGCUGGCGGCGUGCUUAACACAUGCAAGUCGAACGGGAAGGCCCUUCGGGGUACACGAGUGGCGAACGGGGGUGUGAAAUGUGGGUGAUCUGCGCUGCACUUCGGGAUAAGCCUGGGAAACUGGGCCGCAUAUCGGAUAGAACACCGGACUGCAUGGUCGUGGGUGGAAAGCUUUGGCGGUGUGGGAUGGGCCCGCGGCUGAUUAGCUUGUUGGUGGGGUGAUGGCCUACCAAGGCGGCGAAGGGUAGCCGGCCUGAGAGGGUGAUCGGCCACACUGGGAGUGAGCGACGGCCCAAACACCUACGGGAGGCAGCAGUGGGGAAGAUUGCACAAUGGGCGGAAGCAUGAUGCAGGGACGCCGCGUGAGGGAUGACGGCCUUCGGGUUGUGAACCACUUUCAGCACCGGCGAAGCGCAAGUGACGGUAGGUGCAGAAGAAGGACCGGCCAACUACGUGCCAGCCGCCGCCGUAA